AUGUCAACCCGACCCACCAUGGCCUCACAGACCUCAUUUCAUCCGCACUACAAAUUCUCAUCCAGACCUAACGCUAACUUCACUCUCUCGCUCUCCGCUCCGCUCUCCAUCGCUUCCCCUCCCAUCUCCUCCCAAUGUCAUCAGCAGUGGCGACGGCGUCGGAUCCUACAGCGAGGAAGAUCCUAUCGACUGGAGGCCCUCAUCCGCGAUGCGGAGACGGGCAAUGACGAGCAGCUGGACCUCCACAUCGCGCUGCGGCGGGCGCGAGGCAAAACAGGUGGUAGCUCGGGCUCCGCUCCGUCCCCUGUCGCCCGACGUCGCAUCGCGAACACCGGCGCCAGCCCCUUUCGCACCAUGCGCAACUCCACGCGCUCGGUCCGCUCCGCUCCGCUCCGCUCCGCUCCGCUUCGCUCGCCCGACGCCCUCCUACCCCUCCAGCGUCCGCUCCUCUCGGGCAUCAGUGGGUGCGCGUGCCAGCGCCACGGACACGGAAGUCCGAACUGCGUAGCGCCUACCGUGAGAGGCAAUGUGCUAGAAAGAGGGAGGCGGUAUCGGAGGCUGACACAUAUUCCUCCGGUCGACGACGCAGAUUACCGGCACCGGAUGUGGAGGAGCACCUCCUCACGGUUGUCCUCUGCUGCUCGCUGA
Molecule: ribosomal RNA, 648 nt
Filed under: Triticum aestivum (bread wheat)
Lineage: Eukaryota; Viridiplantae; Streptophyta; Magnoliopsida; Poales; Poaceae
Description: partial small subunit ribosomal RNA
Source: RNAcentral